GCGCAUUUAGUGUAGUGGUAUCAUAGUACCAUCCCAUGGUACUUACUGGGGUUCAAUUCCCCGAAUGCGCA
This 71-nucleotide transfer RNA is filed under the name Ipomoea nil (Japanese morning glory). It matches the Rfam family "tRNA". Rfam says of the family: Transfer RNA (tRNA) molecules are approximately 80 nucleotides in length. Their secondary structure includes four short double-helical elements and three loops (D, anti-codon, and T loops). Lineage: Eukaryota; Viridiplantae; Streptophyta; Magnoliopsida; Solanales; Convolvulaceae. The record is from Rfam by way of RNAcentral.